Molecule: ribosomal RNA, 1450 nt
Filed under: metagenome
Description: bacterial SSU rRNA
Rfam family: Bacterial small subunit ribosomal RNA
Source: RNAcentral
AGAGUUUGAUCCUGGCUCAGAACGAACGCUGGCGGCGCGUUUUAAGCAUGCAAGUCGAGCGAGUAGGUUAAGGUGCUUGCACUUUAACUGAGAGCGGCGAACGGGUGAGUAACGCGUAGAUGAUCUGCCCUUCAGUUGGGGAUAGCUCAUGGAAACAUGGGGUAAUACCGAAUACACUCUUUGCACUGUGGUGUUUAGAGGAAAGGCCCGUUUGGGUCGCUGAGGGAUGAGUCUGCGUCUGAUUAGCUUGUUGGUGGGGUAAUGGCCUACCAAGGCGACGAUCAGUAGCCGGCCUGAGAGGGUGACCGGCCACACUGGAACUGAGACACGGUCCAGACUCCUACGGGAGGCAGCAGCUAAGAAUCUUCCGCAAUGGGCGCAAGCCUGACGGAGCGACGCCGCGUGGGCGAAGAAUGCCGAGAGGUUGUAAAGCCCUUUUUCUAACUGAAGAAUAAGGUUUAUAGGAAAUGAUAGAUCGAUGACGUUAGGUUAGGAAUAAGCUCCGGCCAAUUACGUGCCAGCAGCCGCGGUAACACGUAAGGAGCGAGCGUUGUUCGGAAUUAUUGGGCGUAAAGGGCUUGUAGGCGGCUAAGUAAGUCUGAAGUGAAAGACCACAGCUUAACUGUGGGAGCGUUUUGGAAACUGCUUGGCUUGAAUCAGUGAGGGGGUACUGGAAUUCCUGGUGUAGGGGUGAAAUCUGUUGAGAUCAGGAAGAACACCGGAGGCGAAGGCGAGUACCUGGCGCAUGAUUGACGCUGAUGAGCGAAAGCGUAGGGAGCGAACAGGAUUAGAUACCCUGGUAGUCUACGCUGUAAACGAUGUGCACUUGGUGGUGGGUAAUUAACUCUCGCUGCCGUAGCUAACGUGUUAAGUGCACCGCCUGGGGAGUAUGCCGGCAACGGUGAAACUCAAAGGAAUUGACGGGGGCCCGCACAAGCGGUGGAGCAUGUGGUUUAAUUCGACGAUACGCGAGAAACCUUACCAGGGCUUGACAUAUUUAGGAUCGCUGUAGAGAUACAGUUUUUACCUUUGUAACCUUUUUACAGGUGCUGCAUGGUUGUCGUCAGCUCGUGCCGUGAGGUGUUGGGUUAAGUCCCGCAACGAGCGCAACCCUUGUCGUAUGUUACCAUCAUUAAGUUGGGGACUCAUGCGAGACUGCCGGUGACAAACCGGAGGAAGGUGAGGAUGACGUCAAAUCAGCAUGGCCCUUAUGUCCUGGGCUACACACGUGCUACAAUGGCAGGUACAAUGCGCUGCGAGACUGCGAAGUUUAGCGAAACGCAAAAAGCCUGUCUCAGUUCGGAUUGGAGUCUGAAACUCGACUCCAUGAAGGUGGAAUCGCUAGUAAUCGCGUAACAGCUUGACGCGGUGAAUACGUUCCCGGGCCUUGUACACACCGCCCGUCACACCACCCGAGUUGGGGGUACCCGAAGUCGCUAGUCUAACCUUU